UACGGAGGAUGCGAGCGUUAUCCGGAUUUAUUAGGUUUAAAGGGUGCGCAGGCGGAUUUUUAAGUCAGCGGUCAAAUCGUGGGGCUCAACCCCAUCCAGCCGUUGAAACUGGGGAUCUAGAGUGUGCGAGAGGUAUGCGGAAUGCGUGGUGUAGCGGUGAAAUGCAUAGAUAUCACGCAGAACCCCGAUUGCGAAGGCAGCAUACCGGUGCACAACUGACGCUCAGGCACGAAAGCGUGGGUAUCGAACAGG
RNAcentral lists this ribosomal RNA (252 nucleotides) under uncultured bacterium. RNAcentral describes it as "partial 16S ribosomal RNA". It matches the Rfam family "Bacterial small subunit ribosomal RNA", at positions 524 to 776 of the family's 1533-position model. The record is from RNAcentral.